CUUUCUAGUAUGCUAACUGCAAUCGACCUAGGCCAAAGCCAUAUUGCUACGACAAUGGCCAAGAAAAGUGCUCCUGUGUCUGCGUGAGCCCCAGCACUCCUUGCACGCAAAUACCAAGCAAUGGCUGCAACCUCAAAGAAAAUUGCUCAGAAGGUCAUGGUGUCUGCCUCUGUCGUUGCGAAGUCUGGUAAUGAAGGAGCCAGCAGGAAUAUGCCAUGGAACCAACCGAUCAUGGAAAUGACAUCAUCCUUCCAGCUCUCUGUUGAACUACUUGACUGCAAAGAAAGCUUAUUAAUACAUGAGGUGGCUUCAACUCUCUCUUUUAUGAAGAUAUAUUUGUGAAUAUGUGAAUAA
Long non-coding RNA from Rhipicephalus microplus (southern cattle tick), 354 nucleotides. The record is from RefSeq and is a predicted model, not a curated record. NCBI's taxonomy places the organism in Eukaryota, Metazoa, Arthropoda, Arachnida, Ixodida, Ixodidae.